This 408-nucleotide ribosomal RNA is filed under the name bacterium enrichment culture clone ALO1_GLFRUDD03HFYUK. Its description in RNAcentral is "bacterial SSU rRNA". It matches the Rfam family "Bacterial small subunit ribosomal RNA", at positions 9 to 419 of the family's 1533-position model. The record is from RNAcentral.
GAGUUUGAUCAUGGCUCAGAUUGAACGCUGGCGGCAUGCCUUACACAUGCAAGUCGAACGGCAGCACGGGAGCUUGCUCCUGGUGGCGAGUGGCGAACGGGUGAGUAAUGCAUCGGAACGUAUCCUGGAGUGGGGGAUAACGUAGCGAAAGUUACGCUAAUACCGCAUAUUCUGUGAGCAGGAAAGCGGGGGACCUUCGGGCCUCGCGCUCUUGGAGCGGCCGAUGUCGGAUUAGCUAGUUGGUGAGGUAAAGGCUCACCAAGGCGACGAUCCGUAGCAGGUCUGAGAGGAUGAUCUGCCACACUGGAACUGAGACACGGUCCAGACUCCUACGGAGGCAGCAGUGGGGAAUUUUGGACAAUGGGGGCAACCCUGAUCCAGCCAUGCGCGUGAGUGAAGAAGGCCUGG